Molecule: long non-coding RNA, 523 nt
Organism: Mercurialis annua (annual mercury)
Lineage: Eukaryota; Viridiplantae; Streptophyta; Magnoliopsida; Malpighiales; Euphorbiaceae
Exons: 2
Source: RefSeq, a predicted model, not a curated record
AUGGAGUCCCUGUACAGUCAAUUUUUAUUUUAAAAGAUCCAUCUACGUCAUUUAGUUAGUAAAUAGUCCCUGCACCAUUUAUUUUGAGUUGGAGUCCUUAUAUGGACGGAGGUUAACUUGAUCGUUAUAAACGAACAUGCAAUCAAGCUAAAACAAAGCAACAGCCGUAUUUGACACGAGUUAUGUAGUGCAGCAGCAAUGGUGAAAAUGAUAGACAAACUGAUAACCCAUAAGGUGAACGUGGUCUCUCUUCAUGCACUCACGUGCGUACACCAUUUGACCAACCCACGUGGCUUAAAUAGAUCAUGAUAUACUUUAUGGAUGCUUCGUUAAAAAGGAGGUUAGUUAUGUAAUUUUCUUUUUAUUACAAAUAGGUAUGUAAACUUGAAAAGGCCCAUUUUUGACAUAUUCAUGUAAUUUAGUUAUGCAACCAAAGUAGCCACUUAGCAUCAGAAGUGGACCAAUAAUAAAGGCAAAUCAAAAUGAAAAAUUAUAAUGCAAUAAAAUUUGCUUGUAUGGAUAA